This 36-nucleotide non-coding RNA is filed under the name Mycobacterium tuberculosis. The record is from RNAcentral. Lineage: Bacteria; Bacillati; Actinomycetota; Actinomycetes; Mycobacteriales; Mycobacteriaceae.
AUUCGCACGAGUUCCCGUCAGCGUCGUAAAUCGCCA